AGUGAACGCUGGCGGUAGGCCUAACACAUGCAAGUCGAACGGCAGCACAGUAAGAGCUUGCUCUUACGGGUGGCGAGUGGCGGACGGGUGAGGAAUACAUCGGAAUCUACUUUUUCGUGGGGGAUAACGUAGGGAAACUUACGCUAAUACCGCAUACGACCUACGGGUGAAAGCAGGGGAUCUUCGGACCUUGCGCGAUUGAAUGAGCCGAUGUCGGAUUAGCUAGUUGGCGGGGUAAAGGCCCACCAAGGCGACGAUCCGUAGCUGGUCUGAGAGGAUGAUCAGCCACACUGGAACUGAGACACGGUCCAGACUCCUACGGGAGGCAGCAGUGGGGAAUAUUGGACAAUGGGCGCAAGCCUGAUCCAGCCAUACCGCGUGGGUGAAGAAGGCCUUCGGGUUGCAAAGCCCUUUUGUUGGGAAAGAAAAGCAGCAGGUUAAUACCCCGCUGUUCUGACGGGACCCAAAGAAUAAGCACCGGCUAACUUCGU
Molecule: ribosomal RNA, 491 nt
Filed under: uncultured bacterium
Lineage: Bacteria
Description: partial 16S ribosomal RNA
Rfam family: Bacterial small subunit ribosomal RNA
Source: RNAcentral